CGUGAGCAACCUGCCUUUCAGAGGGGGAUAACGUCUUGAAAAGGACGCUAAUACCGCAUGACAUCACGACUCCACAUGGAGAUGUGAUCAAAGGAGCAAUCCGCUGAAAGAUGGGCUCGCGUCCGAUUAGAUAGUUGGCGGGGUAACGGCCCACCAAGUCGACGAUCGGUAGCCGGACUGAGAGGUUGAACGGCCACAUUGGGACUGAGACACGGCCCAG
Molecule: ribosomal RNA, 220 nt
Filed under: uncultured bacterium
Lineage: Bacteria
Description: partial 16S ribosomal RNA
Rfam family: Bacterial small subunit ribosomal RNA
Source: RNAcentral